ACCAGGCGGAGACGGCGGUUGCUCCCGCUGGACGCAUUCACCUGACGAUUGCGCGCUACAUGUUGUCAGCC
Molecule: small RNA, 71 nt
Filed under: Xanthomonas axonopodis
Lineage: Bacteria; Pseudomonadati; Pseudomonadota; Gammaproteobacteria; Lysobacterales; Lysobacteraceae
Description: sX9
Source: RNAcentral